AACAGAGUAUAGGUAUAAGGAUGC
RNAcentral lists this non-coding RNA (24 nucleotides) under Arabidopsis thaliana (thale cress). The record is from RNAcentral. Lineage: Eukaryota; Viridiplantae; Streptophyta; Magnoliopsida; Brassicales; Brassicaceae.